RNAcentral lists this ribosomal RNA (241 nucleotides) under Vibrio parahaemolyticus. Its description in RNAcentral is "partial 23S ribosomal RNA". It matches the Rfam family "Bacterial large subunit ribosomal RNA", at positions 327 to 572 of the family's 2925-position model. Lineage: Bacteria; Pseudomonadati; Pseudomonadota; Gammaproteobacteria; Vibrionales; Vibrionaceae. The record is from RNAcentral.
CGUUAGACGAACGGUCUGGAAAGUCCGACGAUACAGGGUGAUAGUCCCGUAGUUGACGACGUGUGUUCAGUGAAAUCGAGUAGGGCGGGACACGUGAUAUCCUGUCUGAAUAUGGGGGGGACCAUCCUCCAAGGCUAAAUACUACUGACUGACCGAUAGUGAACCAGUACCGUGAGGGAAAGGCGAAAAGAACCCCUGUGAGGGGAGUGAAAUAGAACCUGAAACCGUGUACGUACAAGCA